RNAcentral lists this ribosomal RNA (1349 nucleotides) under metagenome. RNAcentral's name for it is "bacterial LSU rRNA". It matches the Rfam family "Bacterial large subunit ribosomal RNA", at positions 1565 to 2925 of the family's 2925-position model. The record is from RNAcentral.
GGGGUAUGAACGAUUUAUCGUUCUAAGUGAGUGACGUCACACUGCCAAGAAAAGCUUCUAGUUAGAAUCAGACCGCCCGUACCGCAAACCGACACAGGUAGUCGGGUCGAGAAGACCAAGGUGAGCGAGAGAACUCUCGUUAAGGAACUCGGCAAAAUGACCCCGUAACUUCGGGAGAAGGGGUGCUGAUCGCAAGAUCAGCCGCAGUGAAUAGGCCCAGGCGACUGUUUAUCAAAAACACAGGUUUCUGCAAAAUCGUAAGAUGAAGUAUAGGGGCUGACGCCUGCCCGGUGCUGGAAGGUUAAGAGGAUGGGUUAGCGUAAGCGAAGCUCAGAAUUGAAGCCCCAGUAAACGGCGGCCGUAACCAUAACGGUCCUAAGGUAGCGAAAUUCCUUGUCGGGUAAGUUCCGACCCGCACGAAAGGCGUAACGAUCUGGGCACUGUCUCAACGAGAGACUCGGUGAAAUUAUAAUACCCGUGAAGAUGCGGGUUACCCGCGACAGGACGGAAAGACCCCAUGGAGCUUUACUGUAGCUUGAUAUUGGGUGUUUGUACAACUUGUACAGGAUAGGUAGGAGCCGUAGAAGUCGGGACGCUAGUUUCGACGGAGGCAUCGGUGGGAUACUACCCUCGUUGUAUGAACACUCUAACCCACGCCGGCAAUCACGGCGGGAGACAGUGUCAGGUGGGCAGUUUGACUGGGGCGGUCGCCUCCUAAAAGGUAACGGAGGCGCCCAAAGGUUCCCUCAGAAUGGUUGGAAAUCAUUCGCAGAGUGUAAAGGCAUAAGGGAGCUUGACUGCGAGACCUACAAGUCGAGCAGGGACGAAAGUCGGGCUUAGUGAUCCGGUGGUUCCGCAUGGAAGGGCCAUCGCUCAACGGAUAAAAGCUACCCUGGGGAUAACAGGCUUAUCUCCCCCAAGAGUCCACAUCGACGGGGAGGUUUGGCACCUCGAUGUCGGCUCAUCGCAUCCUGGGGCUGUAGUCGGUCCCAAGGGUUGGGCUGUUCGCCCAUUAAAGCGGUACGCGAGCUGGGUUCAGAACGUCGUGAGACAGUUCGGUCCCUAUCCGUCGCGGGCGCAGGAAAUUUGAGAGGAUCUGUCCUUAGUACGAGAGGACCGGGAUGGACAUACCGCUGGUGUACCAGUUGUUCUGCCAAGGGCAUCGCUGGGUAGCUAUGUAUGAAUGAGAUAAACGCUGAAAGCAUCUAAGUGCGAAACUCACCUCGAGAUAAGAUUUCCCACUCCUUUAUGGAGUUAAGACCCCUGAGAGAUGAUCAGGUAGAUAGGAUGGAAGUGGAAGUGCGGCGACGCAUGGAGCGGACCAUUACUAAUCGGUCGAGGACUUAACC